Molecule: RNA transcript, 511 nt
Organism: Phodopus roborovskii (desert hamster)
Lineage: Eukaryota; Metazoa; Chordata; Mammalia; Rodentia; Cricetidae
Gene: CUNH17orf114
Gene name: chromosome unknown C17orf114 homolog
Exons: 2
Source: RefSeq, a predicted model, not a curated record
AUCCUAUGAAUAUGAGGAAGCCUCAGGAAGGGCCUCGCCCAUACAGAAACACCCUUCCCUAUCCUAACGCCCCCGGUCCUCACCCAUCUCAUUUAGCUGACUCCCAACUUCUAUAGCUGCAGACCUACGCCCCUCGAGCCUCCACUCUGUGCAACACCCAGCCCCGCCUCUUAUUCGGUAUUCAGGGUCCAAGAAGCACCUAGCUAAGCUGGAAUGGCCUCGAACUGGGACGAGGCCUGGAACCUGCUUCCCCUCCAGAUCCUAGUCCAGCAGUGGCCCCCAUUGUGACUGGGGGACCACCCUCCCCAGGGCCUGGUGCCUACCUAAGCCGGAAAGCUCGACUCUCCUUCCGCCACCAGCUGCACGAUGUGGCAUCAGCCAAUGACUCUACCAUUUGAAAGGGACAACAAGGGCUAAACUUUAUUCCAGGAAGUCUUGGCAACCUUCUGUCACCACAUUUCUCAGUGGUCCCAAAUCUGUCAUGACCUCAUUAAACUUGUUUAGAGUUGCA